RNAcentral lists this ribosomal RNA (989 nucleotides) under uncultured bacterium. RNAcentral's name for it is "bacterial SSU rRNA". It matches the Rfam family "Bacterial small subunit ribosomal RNA", at positions 119 to 1077 of the family's 1533-position model. The record is from RNAcentral.
UGGACUGCCUGGGUAUUGGGGGGGAUAACGUUUCGGAACGGACGCUAAUACCGUCAUACGUCCUACGGGAGAAAGCAGGGGAAAAAGGGGCCUUGCGCUAUCAGAUGAGCCUAGGUCGGAUUAGCUAGUUGGUGAGGUAAUGGCUCACCAAGGCUACGAUCCGUAACUGGUCUGAGAGGAUGAUCAGUCACACUGGAACUGAGACACGGUCCAGACUCCUACGGGAGGCAGCAGUGGGGAAUAUUGGACAAUGGGCGAAAGCCUGAUCCAGCCAUGCCGCGUGUGUGAAGAAGGUCUUCGGAUUGUAAAGCACUUUAAGUUGGGAGGAAGGGCAUUAACCUAAUACGUUAGUGUUUUGACGUUACCGACAGAAUAAGCACCGGCUAACUCUGUGCCAGCAGCCGCGGUAAUACAGAGGGUGCAAGCGUUAAUCGGAAUUACUGGGCGUAAAGCGCGCGUAGGUGGUUUGUUAAGCGAGAUGUGAAAGCCCCGGGCUCAACCUGGGAACUGCAUUUCGAACUGGCAAACUAGAGUGUGAUAGAGGGUGGUAGAAUUUCAGGUGUAGCGGUGAAAUGCGUAGAGAUCUGAAGGAAUACCCGAUGGCGAAGGCAGCCACCUGGGUCAACACUGACGCUCAUGUACGAAAGCGUGGGGGAGCAAACGGGAUUAGAUACCCCCGGUAGUCCACGCCGUAAACGAUGUCUACUUAAAGCUCGGAGCCUCGGUUCUGUUUUUCAAAGCUAACGCAUUAAGUUAGACCCGCCUGGGGAGUACGGCCGCAAGGUUAAAACUCAAAUGAAUUUGACGGGGGGCCCGCACAAGCGGGUGGAAGCCAUGUUGUUAAUUCGAAUGCAACGGCGAAGAAACCUUACCUAACACCUUUGAAAUUACAAAGAACUUUACCAUGAAAAAUGUGUUGGGUUGCCCUUUCUGGGAAACUUCUGAAUACCAGGUGCCUGCAUUGGCCUGUCCGUCCACUCUCGAGGUUG